CCGGAGAAGAUGGCAGUGUCCACAGGAGUUAAAGUUCCUCGUAAUUUUCGCUUGUUGGAAGAACUUGAAGAAGGACAUAAAGGAGUAGGUGAUGGUACUGUUAGCUGGGGCCUUGAAGAUGAUGAAGACACGACACUUACAAGGUGGACAGGCAUGAUUAUUGGGCCACCAAGGACAAACUAUGAAAACAGAAUAUAUAGCCUGAAAGUAGAAUGUGGAUCUAAAUACCCAGAAGCUCCUCCAUCAGUUAGAUUUGUAACAAAAAUUAAUAUGAAUGGAAUCAAUAAUUCCAGUGGAAUGGUGGAUGCAUGGAGCCUACCAGUAUUAGCAAAAUGGCAAAAUUCCUAUAGCAUUAAAGUCAUACUUCAAGAGCUAAGACGUCUUAUGAUGUCCAAAGAAAAUAUGAAACUUCCACAGCCUCCAGAAGGACAGACGUACAACAACUAACUUCAGUGGAUCUCAAACUUGUCUUAAAUCAGCAACCUUCUACUCGUGUUAAUGUCUUGAUUAAAUAUCACCAUGCAAAAUACCCACACAUUAAGUAAAAGAAUUGCAGCUGGUAAACAUGACCUGGACAGUUGUAAGAAUAUAUUUAAUAUAUGUAUACCUAUUAUGUUUUCAGGUAACAAGAGAAGUGCAGCACAAUUUUUCUUUCUCUUCUUAAAGCACUGUCAUUUAAACAUGAACCUGAAGUAUUCAAAAUGGAAUUUAGGUUUUCAAGACAAAAGCAUGGCAAAAGAGUGUCAGAUGGCCAUGGAAACAUUUGUUUUUCUGGAAAGUAAAGUCUCAAGAAGGAAGAACAGAAAUGGCAUGUUUUAUUUAUCAUAUUUAGAGCUGCAGUUGGAAUUGUUUAAAGUAGCAGAUACAAUGAACAAUCGACAAUUGUGUUAGUUCUUGAAGCCGUGUGGGUGCUGACUACUGUUAGUAUCAAACAUAGGUUCAGGAUUGUUUUGAUACCUGUAUUUAUAAUAAAAGAUGUUGGGGGUUUUGAAUUUCUGUUAAAAGCUGUUCCCGUUUGUUACAUGUAACAGACAUAAUAAUUUGUUUACAGUCUUUGUUUAGUAAAACAUGCUUAGAUGUUUNAAGUGAAGUCAACAAAAAGAAAAUAGGUGUAUGGAUAUGUGAUUUUGAGAUGAAAAUUAGUCUUAAAGUGUAAAUAAAACAUGGAAUGUGUCUUAAAAAA
RNA transcript from Mus pahari (shrew mouse), 1183 nucleotides. It is a transcript of the gene named ubiquitin-conjugating enzyme E2 variant 2 pseudogene, with no coding region annotated. NCBI's taxonomy places the organism in Eukaryota, Metazoa, Chordata, Mammalia, Rodentia, Muridae. The record is from RefSeq and is a predicted model, not a curated record. The transcript has a single exon.